UGCAAGUCGAGGGAGAACCGGCCUUCGGGCCGGGGAGACCGGCGAACGGGUGAGUAACACGUGAGGAACCUGCCCUGUAGAUCGGAAUAACCAUGGGAAACUGUGGCUAAUGCCGGAUAAUCUCGGAUGACCACAUGGACGUCUGAGGAAAAGGUCUGCCGCUACAGGAUGGCCUCGCGGCCUAUCAGCUAGUUGGUGAGGUAACGGCCUACCAAGGCGACGAUCGGUAGCUGGUCUGAGAGGACGGCCAGCCACACUGGAACUGAGACACGGUCCAGACUCCUACGGGAGGCAGCAGUGGGGAAUAUUGGACAAUGGGGGCAACCCUGAUCCAGCAAUGCCGCGUGUGUGAAGAAGGCCUGCGGGUUGUAAAGCACUUUCGGUUGGGAAGAAAAGUCCGGCGCUAAUAUCGCCGGGCCUUGACGUUACUGACAGAAGAAGCACCGGCUAACUCUGUGCCAGCAGCCGCGGUAAUACAGAGGGUGCAAGCGUUAAUCGGAAUCACUGGGCGUAAAGCGUGCGUAGGUGGUCAUGCAAGUCGGGUGUGAAAUCCCCGGGCUCAACCUGGGAACUGCAUUCGAUACUACAUGGCUGGAGUAUGGUAGAGGGAAGUGGAAUUUCCGGUGUAGCGGUGAAAUGCGUAGAUAUCGGAAGGAACACCAAUGGCGAAGGCAGCUUCCUGGACCAAUACUGACACUGAGGCACGAAAGCGUGGGUAGCAAACAGGAUUAGAUACCCUGGUAGUCCACGCCCUAAACGAUGAGAACUAGCCGUUGGGGGAAUUUAAUCCUCUAGUGGCGCAGCUAACGCGUUAAGUUCUCCGCCUGGGGAGUACGGCCGCAAGGUUAAAACUCAAAGGAAUUGACGGGGGCCCGCACAGCGG
This 883-nucleotide ribosomal RNA is filed under the name uncultured Gammaproteobacteria bacterium. Its description in RNAcentral is "bacterial SSU rRNA". It matches the Rfam family "Bacterial small subunit ribosomal RNA", at positions 56 to 932 of the family's 1533-position model. Lineage: Bacteria; Pseudomonadati; Pseudomonadota; Gammaproteobacteria. The record is from RNAcentral.